AGUGAACGCUGGCGGUAGGCCUAACACAUGCAAGUCGAACGGCAGCACAGUAAGAGCUUGCUCUUACGGGUGGCGAGUGGCGGACGGGUGAGGAAUACAUCGGAAUCUACUUUUUCGUGGGGGAUAACGUAGGGAAACUUACGCUAAUACCGCAUACGACCUACGGGUGAAAGCAGGGGAUCUUCGGACCUUGCGCGAUUGAAUGAGCCGAUGUCGGAUUAGCUAGUUGGCGGGGUAAAGGCCCACCAAGGCGACGAUCCGUAGCUGGUCUGAGGGGAUGAUAAGCCACACUGGAACUGAGACACGGUCCAGACUCCUACGGGAGGCAGCAGUGGGGAAUAUUGGACAAUGGGCGCAAGCCUGAUCCAGCCAUACCGCGUGGGUGAAGAAGGCCUUCGGGUUGUAAAGCCCUUUUGUUGGGAAAGAAAAGCAGCAGGUUAAUACCCCGCUGUUCUGACGGUACCCAAAGAAUAAGCACCGGCUAACUUCGUG
This 492-nucleotide ribosomal RNA is filed under the name uncultured bacterium. RNAcentral describes it as "partial 16S ribosomal RNA". It matches the Rfam family "Bacterial small subunit ribosomal RNA", at positions 29 to 507 of the family's 1533-position model. The record is from RNAcentral.